Chinchilla lanigera (long-tailed chinchilla) is the source of this 262-nucleotide long non-coding RNA. RefSeq lists it as uncharacterized. The transcript has 2 exons. NCBI's taxonomy places the organism in Eukaryota, Metazoa, Chordata, Mammalia, Rodentia, Chinchillidae. The record is from RefSeq and is a predicted model, not a curated record.
CCGGGUGAGAGGUCGCCUGUCUCCCAGCAACCGAGGCGCAGUCGGAGCCUGCCUUGCGCCUUAGCUCCCGGCUGCAGAGCUGGCGGGUCAGGGGGAAUCGCACAGUCGCGAAAGUGUCCCCGACCCCUCGUUAACACCUCCUCCAGGAUGAGUGGUUGUUAAGGUGCCAACGUGAUACGGGUUCAGGGAGAGUACAGCAUGGCCCCUGUAGUGCACGACAAGCAGAUUUGGUAACUUGGUUUCAAUAAACACUUAGAAAGCA